This 253-nucleotide ribosomal RNA is filed under the name uncultured bacterium. Its description in RNAcentral is "partial 16S ribosomal RNA". It matches the Rfam family "Bacterial small subunit ribosomal RNA", at positions 524 to 776 of the family's 1533-position model. The record is from RNAcentral.
UACAGAGGGUGCAAGCGUUGUUCGGAAUUAUUGGGCGUAAAGGGCGCGUAGGCGGCCGCGUAUGUCCGGUGUGAAAGCCCACCUCUUAAAGGUGGAAUUGCAUCGGAAACUACGUGGCUGGAGUGUCGGAGAGGAUGGUGGAAUUCCUGGUGUAGAGGUGAAAUUCGUAGAUAUCAGGAGGAACACCGGUGGCGAAGGCGGCCACCUGGACGACUACUGACGCUGAGGCGCGAAAGCGUGGGGAUCAAACAGG